AGUGAACGCUGGCGGUAGGCCUAACACAUGCCAGUCGAACGGCAGCACAGUAAGAGCUUGCUCUUACGGGUGGCGAGUGGCGGACGGGUGAGGAAUACAUCGGAAUCUACUUUUUCGUGGGGGAUAACGUAGGGAAACUUACGCUAAUACCGCAUACGACCUACGGGUGAAAGCAGUGGAUCUUCGGACCUUGCGCGAUUGAAUGAGCCGAUGUCGGAUUAGCUAGUUGGCGGGGUAAAGGCCCACCAAGGCGACGAUCCGUAGCUGGUCUGAGAGGAUGAUCAGCCACACUGGAACUGAGACACGGUCCAGACUCCUACGGGAGGCAGCAGUGGGGAAUAUUGGACAAUGGGCGCAAGCCUGAUCCAGCCAUACCGCGUGGGUGAAGAAGGCCUUCGGAUUGUAAAGCCCUUUUGUUGGGAAAGAAAAGAAGCAGGUUAAUACAUGGCUGUUCUGACGGUACCCAAAGAAUAAGCAACGGCUAACUUCGUG
RNAcentral lists this ribosomal RNA (492 nucleotides) under uncultured bacterium. Its description in RNAcentral is "partial 16S ribosomal RNA". It matches the Rfam family "Bacterial small subunit ribosomal RNA", at positions 29 to 507 of the family's 1533-position model. The record is from RNAcentral.